This 321-nucleotide ribosomal RNA is filed under the name uncultured bacterium. RNAcentral describes it as "bacterial SSU rRNA". It matches the Rfam family "Bacterial small subunit ribosomal RNA", at positions 29 to 359 of the family's 1533-position model. The record is from RNAcentral.
AAUGAACGUUGGCGGCGUGGAUUAGGCAUGCAAGUCGAGCGAGUCUACCUAGUAGCAAUAUUGGGUAAGUCGAGCGGCGUAAGGGGCAGUAAUACCUGGGAACGUACCCUGAGGUCGGGGAUAGCUGCUGGAAACGGCGAGUAAUACCCGAUGAUCUUGGAAAAGCAAAGGCUUGCCGCCUUAGGAGCGGCCCAGGCGAUAUUAGCUAGUUGGUGGGGUAAUGGCCUACCAAGGCAUAGAUGUCUAGCGGGUGUGAGAGCACGACCCGCGCCACUGGCACUGAGACACUGGCCAGANACCUACGGGUGGGCUGCAGUCGAG